UGGGGAAUAUUGCACAAUGGGCGCAAGCCUGAUGCAGCCAUGCCGCGUGUAUGAAGAAGGCCUUCGGGUUGUAAAGUACUUUCAGCGGGGAGGAAGGGAGUAAAGUUAAUACCUUUGCUCAUUGACGUUACCCGCAGAAGAAGCACCGGCUAACUCCGUGCCAGCAGCCGCGGUAAUACGGAGGGUGCAAGCGUUAAUCGGAAUUACUGGGCGUAAAGCGCACGCAGGCGGUUUGUUAAGUCAGAUGUGAAAUCCCCGGGCUCAACCUGGGAAUUGCAUCUGAAACUGGCAAGCUUGAGUCUCGUAGAGGGGGGUAGAAUUCCAGGGGUAGCGGUGAAAUGCGUAGAGAUCUGGAGGAAUACCGGUGGCGAAGGCGGCCCCCUGGACGUAGACUGACGCUCAGGUGCGAAAGCGUGGGGAGCAAACAGG
Molecule: ribosomal RNA, 429 nt
Filed under: Chloroflexota bacterium
Lineage: Bacteria; Bacillati; Chloroflexota
Description: Chloroflexi bacterium partial 16S ribosomal RNA
Rfam family: Bacterial small subunit ribosomal RNA
Source: RNAcentral